GACAGAGGGUGCAAACGUUGUUCGGAAUUACUGGGCGUAAAGCGCGUGUAGGCUGUUUCGCGAGUCGGAUGUGAAAGCCCUGGGCUCAACCUAGGAAGUGCAUUCGAAACUGCGAGACUUGAGUCCUGGAGAGGAAGGCGGAAUUCUCGGUGUAGAGGUGAAAUUCGUAGAUAUCGAGAGGAACACCGGUGGCGAAGGCGGCCUUCUGGACAGUGACUGACGCUGAGACGCGAAAGCGUGGGGAGCAAACAGG
This 253-nucleotide ribosomal RNA is filed under the name uncultured bacterium. Its description in RNAcentral is "partial 16S ribosomal RNA". It matches the Rfam family "Bacterial small subunit ribosomal RNA", at positions 524 to 776 of the family's 1533-position model. The record is from RNAcentral.